CAGGGAGCACAGGCUGAUGCAUGGGUGAACUAGAAUCCUGCAUGCCACAUGGUGCAGCCAGAAAAUUGAAAACAAAAUCUCUCCUACAGCGGCACCAUAUGUGACCUGGUUUCAUGACCCAGGCCCAUGUGGAGAUGGUGGUGCUUCAGUUUUAUAGAUUCCAACUCCAAGAUUACCAAAGAGUGAGAAGAAGAAUCUGAUUUUUUUGCUCCCAUCCGCACUUGGAGGGUAUGGCCCUCCUCUUUAAACUUGGACAAGACUUUGUGACAAUCUGGAUGGAGAGAAUGCAGUAAAGGAACACAGCAUGGCGUUCAAGCCAAGGACGGAAAAGAUCAUGCAGCUUUUGCCUGCCUUCUCUUGGGAUUCUGAGAAUCAACAUAUGCCGAGGAAGAAGCCUAACUAAUGCAAAUUCACUCUUUGGAGAGACCCCAAAGAGUAAAGGGAGAAAGAGAGAGAGAGAGAGAGAGAUGCCUGAGCUCCAGUUGGUCCUUUUGAGUCUUCUAGCUGAGGUACUACCAUGUAAGUGAAGAAGCUCUCAAGAAGAUGCCAGCCCUGGGACGUCGCUGGUAGUCCAGUAGCAAAGAUUUCAUGCUCCCAAUGCUGGGGCCCAGGUUCCAUUUCUGGUCCGGGAACUAGACCCCACAUGCUGGAACUACGAGUUCGCAUGUGGCAACUGAGUUCACAUGCCAGGGGUAAAAGAUCCCAUGAGCUACAACUAAGACCUGGUACAGCCAAACAAAUAAAUAUUACAAAAAAAAGGCGACCCCAGCCCUAACCCUUGUCUGCCUGCAUUUGUCUGAGACACCCUCAGCAUGAACCACCCGAGCCCAGUCAACCCUCAGAACCUUGAGGAAUAAUAAUAAUAAACUAUUGAUGUUUAAGGCUU
Long non-coding RNA from Bubalus bubalis (water buffalo), 886 nucleotides. RefSeq lists it as uncharacterized. The transcript has 3 exons. NCBI's taxonomy places the organism in Eukaryota, Metazoa, Chordata, Mammalia, Artiodactyla, Bovidae. The record is from RefSeq and is a predicted model, not a curated record.